UCUUAUUUUCUAAGCACAUUGUGACAUAAUGCUGAGCUGACAAUCAGAUGAGACUGUGACAUAUACCUCUGCCCAUCACCUGAUUUGACUCUUCUGCCUGGGACCAGACAACAGAUGGGACUGUGACAUCACUGGACCUAGCAUUUAAGUUCCGUGACUCUCCUGUCUGUGCCCUGCCUACAUGGAUUAUUGUGACAUAUUGCUGGGUCCAACACCCAGGUUCUGCCUGUAGAAAAGAUUGUAACAUAAUGCUGGGCCCAACUUCAAGGUGGCAUUACUUUUUUGACUUGGCCUUGCUCUCAGAAGACAUUAUAACAUACUGCUGGGCCCAGAACCAAGGUGAUGUUAAGUCUUCUGACUAAAACCUACCCACAGAAGACAUUGUGACAUAUCUCUGGGCCCAUCAACUAUUUGAUGUGACUCUACUCUUAUCUGAGUUUUUUUAAUAAAAG
RNAcentral lists this long non-coding RNA (452 nucleotides) under Homo sapiens (human). RNAcentral describes it as "non-protein coding lnc-ZNF107-3:1". Lineage: Eukaryota; Metazoa; Chordata; Mammalia; Primates; Hominidae. The record is from RNAcentral.